RNAcentral lists this ribosomal RNA (2334 nucleotides) under uncultured Enterorhabdus sp. RNAcentral describes it as "partial contains 16S ribosomal RNA, 16S-23S ribosomal RNA intergenic spacer, and 23S ribosomal RNA". The stretch from base 1 to 1484 matches the Rfam family "Bacterial small subunit ribosomal RNA". Lineage: Bacteria; Bacillati; Actinomycetota; Coriobacteriia; Eggerthellales; Eggerthellaceae. The record is from RNAcentral.
GAUGAACGCUGGCGGCGUGCCUAACACAUGCAAGUCGAACGAUUAAACCGCCCUCGGGCGGACAUAGAGUGGCGAACGGGUGAGUAACACGUGACCAACCUGCCCCGCGCUCCGGGACAACCGCUGGAAACGGCGGCUAAUACCGGAUACUCCGGGAGGGCCCCAUGGCCCUGCCGGGAAAGCCGAGACGGCGCGGGAUGGGGUCGCGGCCCAUUAGGUAGACGGCGGGGUAACGGCCCACCGUGCCCGCGAUGGGUAGCCGGACUGAGAGGUCGACCGGCCACAUUGGGACUGAGAUACGGCCCAGACUCCUACGGGAGGCAGCAGUGGGGAAUUUUGCGCAAUGGGGGGAACCCUGACGCAGCAACGCCGCGUGCGGGACGAAGGCCCUCGGGUUGUAAACCGCUUUCAGCAGGGAAGAUCCAAGACGGUACCUGCAGAAGAAGCUCCGGCUAACUACGUGCCAGCAGCCGCGGUAAUACGUAGGGGGCGAGCGUUAUCCGGAUUCAUUGGGCGUAAAGCGCGCGUAGGCGGCCGCCUAAGCGGGACCUCUAACCCCGGGGCUCAACCCCGGGCCGGGUCCCGGACUGGGCGGCUCGAGUGCGGUAGAGGAGAGCGGAAUUCCCGGUGUAGCGGUGGAAUGCGCAGAUAUCGGGAAGAACACCGAUGGCGAAGGCAGCUCUCUGGGCCGUCACUGACGCUGAGGCGCGAAAGCUGGGGGAGCGAACAGGAUUAGAUACCCUGGUAGUCCCAGCCGUAAACGAUGGGCGCUAGGUGUGGGGGGACGAUCCCUCCGUGCCGCAGCCAACGCAUUAAGCGCCCCGCCUGGGGAGUACGGCCGCAAGGCUAAAACUCAAAGGAAUUGACGGGGGCCCGCACAAGCAGCGGAGCAUGUGGCUUAAUUCGAAGCAACGCGAAGAACCUUACCAGGGCUUGACAUGCCGAUGAAGCCGGGGAGACCCGGUGGCCGAGAGGAGUCGGCGCAGGUGGUGCAUGGCUGUCGUCAGCUCGUGUCGUGAGAUGUUGGGUUAAGUCCCGCAACGAGCGCAACCCCCGCCCCGUGUUGCCAGCAUUCAGUUGGGGACUCGCGGGGGACUGCCGGCGUCAAGCCGGAGGAAGGUGGGGACGACGUCAAGUCAUCAUGCCCCUUAUGCCCUGGGCUGCACACGUGCUACAAUGGCCGGUACAGAGGGUUGCCACCCCGCGAGGGGGAGCGGAUCCCGGAAAGCCGGUCCCAGUUCGGAUCGCAGGCUGCAACCCGCCUGCGUGAAGCCGGAGUUGCUAGUAAUCGCGGAUCAGCACGCCGCGGUGAAUACGUUCCCGGGCCUUGUACACACCGCCCGUCACACCACCCGAGUCGUCUGCACCCGAAGCCGCCGGCCGAACCCCCCUGGGGGGCGGAGGCGUCGAAGGUGUGGAGGGUAAGGGGGGUGAAGUCGUAACAAGGUAGCCGUACCGGAAGGUGCGGCUGGAUCACCUCCUUUCUAGGGAGAGACCUAGGCCGUCGCCCAUCUCUCAGCAUCCGGCUGCGAGGGCUCCGCGAGAGCGGCCCCCGCGCACCUUGACAGCUGCAUAGCGCGUGACGAGAUACAUUGUCACGAUCAUGAUCAACACCAACAUCAAUUCCUGAAGCUUUGCUUUAGAGUGUUCGAUGGGUGUUCGCAUCAUGGACAAGACGAUUCAUCACGAUCGCGAACGUAUGUUAUACGACGGAUAGAGAAAUUCUCAACAAUCCAAUGGACGAUACCGUGGGGGGCCCUUGUUACCCUUUGGCCCCCCAUGCGACCUUGAGAUCGGAAGAAGAUACCAAGGGCGCACGGCGGAUGCCUUGGCACAGGAAGUCGACGAAGGACGCGGCAAGCUGCGAUAAUCUGCGGGGAGUGGCAAACACACCUUGAUCCGCAGGUCUCCGAAUGGGGGAACCCACCUGGGGCCAUGCCCAGGUACCCCAUCCUGAAUCAAAUAGGGAUGAGGGAGGCAACCGGGGGAACUGAAACAUCUAAGUACCCCGAGGAAGAGAAAUCAACCGAGAUUGCGCGAGUAGCGGCGAGCGAAAGCGCACCAGCCCAAACCCGGGCGCGUGUAAGCGGCAGGCGUUGCCGCCCGGGGGUUGCGGGACGCACGUGCGGGGGCUGCCCUCCCGCGUGAGGUUACAAAUCCACAUGGUAGCGGAACGGCAUGGAAGGGCCGGCCGCAGCGGGUGAGAGCCCCGUACGCGAAACCAUGCGGACCUCAGUUGCGCAUCCCGAGUAGGGCCGGGCACGUGAAACCCGGUCCGAAGCCGGGGGGACCACCCUCCAAGGCUGAACACUCUCCUGUGACCGAUAGCGAACC